AGCGAACGCUGGCGGCAGGCCUAACACAUGCAAGUCGAACGCCCAGCAAUGGGAGUGGCAGACGGGAUAGUAACACGUGGGAACGCGCCCUUCGGUUCGGAAUAACUCAGGGAAACUUGAGCUAAUACCGGAUACGCCCUUACGGGGAAAGAUUUAUUGCCGAAGGAACGGCCCGCGUCGGAUUAGCUAGUUGGUGAGGUAAUGGCUCACCAAGGCGACGAUCCGUAGCUGGUCUGAGAGGAUGACCAGCAUCACUGGGACUGAGACACGGCCCAGACUCCUACGGGAGGCAGCAGUGGGGAAUAUUGGACAAUGGGCGCAAGCCUGAUCCAGCCAUGCCGCGUGGAUGAUGAAGGCCCUAGGGUUGUAAAGUCCUUUUAACGGGGAAGAUAAUGACGGUACCCGUAGAAUAAGCCCCGGCUAACUUCGUGCCAGCAGCCGCGGUAAUACGAAGGGGGCUAGCGUUGCUCGGAAUUACUGGGCGUAAAGCGCACGUAGGCGGGUCGAUAAGUCGGGGGUGAAAUCCUGGAGCUCAACUCCAGAACUGCCUUCGAAACUGUCGAUCUUGAGUUCGGGAGAGGUGAGUGGAACUGCGAGUGUAGAGGUGAAAUUCGUAGAUAUUCGCAAGAACACCAGUGGCGAAGGCGGCUCACUGGCCCGAUAC
Molecule: ribosomal RNA, 664 nt
Filed under: uncultured bacterium
Lineage: Bacteria
Description: bacterial SSU rRNA
Rfam family: Bacterial small subunit ribosomal RNA
Source: RNAcentral